UACGUAGGGACCUAGCGUUGUCCGGAAUCAUUGGGCGUAAAGCGCGCGUAGGCGGCCCGGUAAGUCCGUUGUAAAAGUCAAAGGCUCAACCUUUGAAAGCCGAUGGAUACUGCCGGGCUAGAGUACGGAAGAGGCGAGUAGAAUUCCUGGUGUAGCGGUGGAAUGCGCAGAUAUCAGGAGGAAUACCCAUAGCGAGGGCAGCUCGCUGGGACGUUACUGACGCUGAGGCGCGAAAGCGUGGGGAGCGAACAGG
This 253-nucleotide ribosomal RNA is filed under the name uncultured bacterium. RNAcentral's name for it is "partial 16S ribosomal RNA". It matches the Rfam family "Bacterial small subunit ribosomal RNA", at positions 524 to 776 of the family's 1533-position model. The record is from RNAcentral.